Molecule: non-coding RNA, 112 nt
Organism: Eumeta japonica
Lineage: Eukaryota; Metazoa; Arthropoda; Insecta; Lepidoptera; Psychidae
Source: the annotation of a GenBank genome assembly
AACGUCCAUUCCACAUUGAAUACACCAGUUCUUGUCCGAUCACCGAAGUUAAGCAGUAUUAGGUGUGGUCAGUACUUGCGUGGGUGACCGCCUGGGAGCACCGCGUGAUGUU